This 253-nucleotide ribosomal RNA is filed under the name uncultured bacterium. RNAcentral describes it as "partial 16S ribosomal RNA". It matches the Rfam family "Bacterial small subunit ribosomal RNA", at positions 524 to 776 of the family's 1533-position model. The record is from RNAcentral.
GACGUAGGGGGCCAGCGUUGCUCGGAAUUACUGGGUGUAAAGGGUUCGUAGGCGGUGUGGCAAGUCGGGAGUGAAAUCUCUGGGCUCAACCCAGAGUCUGCUUCCGAAACUGCUGUGCUUGAGUGUGGGAGAGGCGCGUGGAAUUGCAGGUGUAGCGGUGAAAUGCGUAGAUAUCUGCAGGAACACCCGUGGCGAAAGCGGCGCGCUGGACCACUACUGACGCUGAGGAACGAAAGCUAGGGUAGCGAACGGG